Molecule: ribosomal RNA, 253 nt
Filed under: uncultured Lactobacillus sp.
Lineage: Bacteria; Bacillati; Bacillota; Bacilli; Lactobacillales; Lactobacillaceae
Description: partial 16S ribosomal RNA
Rfam family: Bacterial small subunit ribosomal RNA
Source: RNAcentral
UACGUAGGUGGCAAGCGUUGUCCGGAUUUAUUGGGCGUAAAGCGAGCGCAGGCGGAAAGAUAAGUCUGAUGUGAAAGCCUUCGGCUUAACCGAAGAAGUGCAUCGGAAACCGGGCAACUUGAGUGCAGAAGAGGACAGUGGAACUCCAUGUGUAGCGGUGAAAUGCGUAGAUAUUAGGAGGAACACCAGUGGCGAAGGCGGCCUACUGGACGGUGACUGACGCUGAGGCUCGAAAGCGUGGGGAGCAAACAGG